This 253-nucleotide ribosomal RNA is filed under the name uncultured bacterium. RNAcentral describes it as "partial 16S ribosomal RNA". It matches the Rfam family "Bacterial small subunit ribosomal RNA", at positions 524 to 776 of the family's 1533-position model. The record is from RNAcentral.
UACGUAGGGUGCAAGCGUUAAUCGGAAUUACUGGGCGUAAAGCGUGCGCAGGCGGUGAUGUAAGACAGUUGUGAAAUCCCCGGGCUCAACCUGGGAACUGCAUUUGUGACUGCAUCGCUGGAGUGCGGCAGAGGGGGAUGGAAUUCCGCGUGUAGCAGUGAAAUGCGUAGAUAUGCGGAGGAACACCGAUGGCGAAGGCAAUCCCCUGGGCCUGCACUGACGCUCAUGCACGAAAGCGUGGGGAGCAAACAGG